UUGUUUUUUUUUUUGUAAAAUUUUAUUUUUUGUUAUUUUAAAAAUAUAUUUUUAUCAUAUUAAAGGUGUCAUUUAAUGAUACUAUUUUUCUUUAAAAAUUACAAUAUCUACAUUCAUAAAUGAUAUUAUAUGUAUAUUAAUUUGAAUGACACUUUUAAUUUAUGUAUAAUGAUACUAUUGUUGUUAGUAAAUUACACUAUCUAUAUUAUUAAAUGACACUACUAU
RNAcentral lists this long non-coding RNA (225 nucleotides) under Salvia miltiorrhiza (redroot sage). Its description in RNAcentral is "long non-coding RNA (SMIL_LNC001478)". Lineage: Eukaryota; Viridiplantae; Streptophyta; Magnoliopsida; Lamiales; Lamiaceae. The record is from RNAcentral.